This 252-nucleotide ribosomal RNA is filed under the name uncultured bacterium. Its description in RNAcentral is "partial 16S ribosomal RNA". It matches the Rfam family "Bacterial small subunit ribosomal RNA", at positions 525 to 776 of the family's 1533-position model. The record is from RNAcentral.
ACGGAGGGUGCAAGCGUUGUUCGGAUUUACUGGGCGUAAGGGGCGUGUAGGCGGCUAGGCAAGUCAGGUGUGAAAUCCCUUGGCUCAACCAAGGAAGUGCAUUUGAAACUGCAUAGCUAGAGUACAGGAGGGGAAAGUGGAAUUCCCAGUGUAGAGGUGAAAUUCAUAGAUAUUGGGAGGAACACCAGUAGCGAAGGCGGCUUUCUGGCCUGAUACUGACGCUGAGACGCGAAAGCGUGGGGAGCAAACAGG